This is a non-coding RNA of Bos taurus (domestic cattle), 73 nucleotides long. The record is from Rfam. NCBI's taxonomy places the organism in Eukaryota, Metazoa, Chordata, Mammalia, Artiodactyla, Bovidae.
UCCCUGGUAGUCCAGUGGCUAAGACUCUGCUCUCCCAGUGCCGGGGGCCCAGGUUCAAUCCCUGGUCGGGGAA